RNAcentral lists this ribosomal RNA (420 nucleotides) under uncultured Nostoc sp. RNAcentral describes it as "bacterial SSU rRNA". It matches the Rfam family "Bacterial small subunit ribosomal RNA", at positions 153 to 606 of the family's 1533-position model. The record is from RNAcentral. Lineage: Bacteria; Bacillati; Cyanobacteriota; Cyanophyceae; Nostocales; Nostocaceae.
GAAACGGCGGCUCUUACCGGAUGGGCCGAAAGGUACAAGGCUUGCUGCCUGAAGAUGAGCUCGCGUCUGAUUAGGUAGUUGGUGUGGUAAGAGCGCACCACGGCCACCAUCAGUAGCUGGUCUGAGAGGAUGAUCAGCCCCACUGGGACUGAGACACGGGCCAAACUCCUACGGGAGGCAACAGUGGGGAAUUUUCCGCAAUGGGCGAAAGCCUGACGGAACAAUACCGCGUGAGGGAGGAAGGCUCUUGGGUUGUAAACCUCUUUUCUCAAGGAAUAAUUUCGGAAGGGCCUUGAGGAAUAAAAACCGGCUAAUUCCGGGCCACCACCCCCGGUAUUCCGGAGAAAGAAACCCUUUUCCGGAAUAUUUGGGGCUAAAACGCCCCCCGGGGGCCCGUAAAGUUUGUUUUUUAAAAACAAA